GCCCGGGUAGCUCAGUAGGUAGAGCGCCUGGCUGUUAACCAGGAGGUCGCAGGUUCGAGUCCUGCCCCGGGCG
This is a transfer RNA of 73 nucleotides. It matches the Rfam family "tRNA". Rfam says of the family: Transfer RNA (tRNA) molecules are approximately 80 nucleotides in length. Their secondary structure includes four short double-helical elements and three loops (D, anti-codon, and T loops). Further hydrogen bonds mediate the characteristic L-shaped molecular structure. tRNAs have two regions of fundamental functional importance: the anti-codon, which is responsible for specific mRNA codon recognition, and the 3' end, to which the tRNAs corresponding amino acid is attached (by aminoacyl-tRNA synthetases). tRNAs cope with the degeneracy of the genetic code in two manners: having more than one tRNA (with a specific anti-codon) for a particular amino acid; and 'wobble' base-pairing, i.e. permitting non-standard base-pairing at the 3rd anti-codon position.